UAAUACGAAGGUCCCAAGCGUUGUUUUGGGAAUCACUGGGCGUAAAGGGAGCGUAGGGCGGGCGUGGUAAGUCAGAUGUGAAAUUCCGGGGCUCAAUCCCGGAACUGCAUCCGAUACUGCCAUGCUAGAGGAUUGGAGAGGUAGCUGGAAUUCUUGGUGUAGCAGUGAAAUGCGUAGAGAUCAAGAGGAACACUCGUGGCGAAAGCGAGCCACUGGACAAUUCCUGACGCUGAGGCUCGAAGGCUAGGGUAGCGAAAGGGAUUAGAUACCCCUGUAGUCCUAGCAGUAAACGGUGCACGCUUGGUGUGAGGGGAAUCGACCCCCCUUGUGCCGGAGCUAACGCGUUAAGCGUGCCGCCUGGGAAGUACGGUCGCAAGACUAAAACUCAAAGAAAUUGACGGGGACCCGCACAAGCGGUGGAGUAUGUGGCUUAAUUCGAUGCAACGCGAAGAACCUUACCAAGGCUUGACAUGCAUCUCUAAACACGUGAAAGCGUGUGACCCUUCGGGGAAUUUGCACAGGUGCUGCAUGGCCGUCGUCAGCUCGUGUCGUGAGAUGUUGGGUUAAGUCCCGCAACGAGCGCAACCCUUGUGAUUAGUUGCCAGCACGUUAAGGUGGGAACUCUAGUCAGACUGCCCAGAUCAACUGGGAGGAAGGUGGGGACGACGUCAGGUCAGUAUGGCCCUUACGCCUUGGGCUGCACACGUACUACAAUGCCCAGCACAAUGAGAAUCGAGACCGCGAGGUGGAGGAAAUCUAGAAAACUGAGCCCAGUUCGGAUUGGAGGCUGCAACUCGCCUCCAUGAAGUUGGAAUCGCUAGUAAUGGCACAUCAGCUACGGUGCCGUGAAUACGUUCCCGGGUCUUGUACACACCGCCCGUC
RNAcentral lists this ribosomal RNA (882 nucleotides) under uncultured Verrucomicrobiota bacterium. RNAcentral's name for it is "bacterial SSU rRNA". It matches the Rfam family "Bacterial small subunit ribosomal RNA", at positions 521 to 1398 of the family's 1533-position model. Lineage: Bacteria; Pseudomonadati; Verrucomicrobiota. The record is from RNAcentral.